This 4915-nucleotide long non-coding RNA is filed under the name Sus scrofa (pig). RNAcentral describes it as "lncRNA (ENSSSCG00000057453.1)". Lineage: Eukaryota; Metazoa; Chordata; Mammalia; Artiodactyla; Suidae. The record is from RNAcentral.
CAGGCAAGGAGGCUCUGCCCCCAAAUUAUACUCGUAAUGAAGUCUAAUCCAUUUUUCAUUGGCGGUUCAUGUCUUUGUUUUUUCAUUGCUGUUAGCCUUGGCCAUAGUUGACUCUUAAUAAACUUGGGAUGAAUGACUGGAUGAAAGAAGGUACAGACCCAGGGGCCCUGGGCGGCUCUGCUGCUCAGCGAGGCGGUCUUGCCUUGGUCCGACCUCUCAAGCAGCUGCUUGGACUGGAAAUCGAGGCCAAAUCAUUAAUUUCUUUGUCUGUCUCAAGUUGCUCUCCUGGAAGCUUUACUAUUUUACCUUUUGCAUUUACGUCCACAAUCCACCUUGAAUGGACUGUGGUGCAUUUUUGUGUAAGCUGCUGUGUGUGCAGGUACCCCCUGUCCCAACUGUGUUGCUGGGUGAGAAUCAGAACGUUAAGAACUGGGGCAAAUGCUGGUGUUCUGACAACUGCCAAUGCUGAGAUUAAUAAACCACCCUUCCUCUUGGAUCCAGAAGAUGCAUGUCUCCUCCCGGCCCCCAUGAAACCAGCUGGCUCACUCAGUAACUUGGAAAUAGGAUAAUACCUUAGAUUCUUCACAGUUCUUGACACUUGUGUGCAAAAAAACUGUUUAUUAUUGUAAAUCUGAGUUUGGAGUUCCCACUGGGGUGCAAUGGGAUUGGCAGCAUCUCUGAAACCCGGGGGCAUGGGUUCAAUUCCCUUCCUGGCACAAUGGGUUAAGAAUCUGGCAUUGCUUGCAGCUGUAGUGUAGGUUGAAACUGCAGCUCAGAUCUGAUUGCUGGCUCGGGAGCUCCAUAUGCCUCGGGGCAGCCAAAAAAGAACAAAUAUUUUUAAAAAUAUUAAAUAAAUAAGAUAAAUCUGAGUUUGGGGGUGGUCAGCUAUAGAUGACAGUGAACUCCCAGAUGGGUUGCUUCAUUACUGUAACUGGGUCAACCUGGUCAAAGGCUGGGGCUAUUUUCUUUUCUUUUUCUUUUUAGGGCCGCACCCUCAGCAUAUGGAGGUUCCCAGCCUAGGGGUCGAAAUGGAGCUACAGCUGCCAGCCUACACCACCGCCACAGCAACACAGGAUCUGAGCCAUGUCCGUGAUCUACACCACAGCUCAUGGCAAUGCUGGAUCCUUAACCCACUGAGCGAGGCCAGGGAUUGAACCUGUGUCCUCAUGGAUACUAGUCAGGUUUGUUUCUGCUGAGCCAUGACUAGAAGUGCUGGGGCCAUUUUCAAGAUCCUGACACAUGUUGCUAAUUUACUUUCCAAAAAGGUGGUUCCAAUGUAUACUCUCACCCCACCCCCAGUGAUAUGUGAGCAGAUUUUUCCUACUGAAGUGCUAAGGUCCUCUGUCCUUUUCCCCCUGCAUGUCUCCUCUCGAGUAACUUAUGCCUUUGUGCUGGUUUUCUUGGUUUUGCUUUGUUCUCCUGUUGGCAAGAGACCCAGGAAAUGGGGCAGAGCCAGGUGAGUCUGCGAAGGCAGCCUGCUCAGUGAGACCAUGAACUGUGGGAGAGUCUGUUGCCAGGAGUAACAGAAGCCCCUGCCAGGUCCUGAGGGGACCCCAGUGAACCCAUGGCCUGGGAAGACCAGCCCCAGCUCUCCACAGUAAACUGCAUCUCAUGACCUGUUCUCUGAGUCCUCUGCAGUGCAGACUUGGUGGAAAGUGCUGGAGGAAAUGGCAGGCUUGCCAGAGUUGGCCCCAAGGCCACCACUUAAUCACUUACUUCAAACAGGACUGUGCUGUGACUGUGCCCCUGUGGCAGGAGGGAGCCGGCCACUGCUCUGGGCGGAACUUCAAUCCCCGGAGGACGUGUCUGCGCCUCUCUCCUCACCUCUCCCCACACAUUCAAACCUACCUGCCCCCCCCAGACAAAGAAGCCACCAGAGGCUUGGCCCACAUGGGCUCUCGAGGACCAGGACAGAAGCCAAGGAAACCCUUGGGAGCCAAGGGGGUUUGUGCAGAGGCUGGUGUUGAUGCACAUGAACCUGCAACAUCCAUGAAACCACUCUUUCCAGGUUGGAGUGGUUGCACUGAAGCUGCAGCAGCACCUGUCAUCUUGGGUUUAGAAAACUCAGGGAAGAGAUCAGUAAGCUUACUCUGGAAAAGGCCAGACAGUAAAUGUUUCGGGCUUGUGGGCCAUGUUGUCUCUGUUGUAACCAUGGAACUCUGCCCCUGCGGUGUGAAAGGAGCCUUAGACAACACACAGACCAAUAAAAUCCCAUUGUGGCUCAGUGAUAACGACCCAACUGGUAUCCAUGAGGACUGGGGAUCGAUCCCUAGCCUCGCUCAGUGGGUUAAGGAUCUGGCAUUGCCAUGAGCUGUGGUGUAGGUCUCAGAUGUUGCUCGGAUCCCAUGGUACAGUGGCUGUGGUGUGGGCUAGCAGCUGCAGCUCUGAUUCAACCCCUAGUCUGGGAACUUCCAUAUGCGGCAGGUGUGGCCCUUAAAAAAGACACACGCACAAAAUGCCACUUACAAAAUCUGCUGACUCCUGACUCAGGAGAUGGUGGUCCAAAAAACAGGACUAAACCUUGCCCUCAGCUGCUCAGGUGGAAAAUAUUUUGUUAUGUCUUCAUUUAUCAGACACUUAAAUAUUCUCACAAUGUCCCGGACAUCUGGAAGAGUUUUAUAAAUAUUGGUGCACUUAAUUAUUGCCAUGUCCCUACAAGGCAUGUGCUAUUAUUCUCCCUGGUUUGGUACAGAGAGGUCAGGUAACUUGCCCAAGGUCAUACAGUGGUACGUGAGAGCCUUGGGACUUGGAUGCACACAGCUUGUACUCUUCGCCAUCACCCUGUGCUGUGGAAAGGCAGGAUGGCCUUCAUGGAAGGAACAUCCAUUGGGCACCUUGCUCUGUGCUAGCCUGGGGCGGGGAGGGGAACAGGGACAGAGAUGACAAAGACCCAGUCCUGAAAUGAAACAGAAACCUAUGGGGCCUUCCCAGGACAGACCCCCCCCACCCCCGUGCCCUCCACCUGCCUCUUGUCUGUAGAGAAACAUUAGCCAAAGAAUAAAAUUAAUCAGAGAAAUGAGAAAACACAGAAACAAAGGAAAGCAGUCAAACGGGACAAACUAAUAAUAGCUUAGUCAUUGAACAAAGUCAAGGACUUUUCAUUCCUCCUCAAGGACUAUAGGUAAUAUUCUAAGCCACAGCCUGGGCGCUGUUUUGCAGACACUGAAACCCCCACCAGGUGGAAGAAGUUAGUACAUGAUGAUCAGACUGUAACCAUGACAUCAGCUGUCACGGUUCUGAGAAUUGGCCUCAAAGAAAUGGGAACAAACUGACCUUGGAACUGAGGACUAACUGUACUUAAAACAAUCAAGAUGAUGCUGAUCAGACCGCUGAAUGCCCAAUUUUGAGAUAACUGUCAGAGCUGAUGGUGCUGUUUCUGCACGUGGCCCCCUCCCUCCACUUAUCCACCCCUGAAGCUCCCCUUUAAAAGCUCUUCCCCCGAUUGUCAGUGAGGGAGUUGGCCUUUGGACAUGAGUCCAUCUUCUCCCCGAGUUGCUGGACUUUGACGUAAAGCCAACUUUCCCUUCCUGUGAACACUUGCCCUUGUCUUGAGUGGUGAGCAGCGGACCUGAGUUCAGUAACGGUCUCACCCUCACGGAGCUCCAGCCCUUCAGGGACAGACUAGUGUAGACUCACAGUGGGUGUCACCCCAGAAAAACAUGGGAUGCAGAAUGACUCCGCUCACAUGAACGUCAAGAACUAACAAAACUCCCCUAUGGGGAUAAAGGUCAGAAAAGCAGUGACCGAGGAGGGCACGAGGGACCUGCAGUACUGGAAAUGCUGGUGUCUUCAGGUAGGUACCUUGUGUACCUAGGUAAAAAGUCAUCAAGCUGACCCAAUAAAAUACACACAUUCAAAGAAAAAAGAGCCUGGUGGAAUUCGAUGGAAGCUGGCAGAUGGUGAAGCAGCUGCUCUCUGAGGCCACACCUGAGAGGUCAUCACAGCAGCCCAUCCCGGUACUGAAGGGCUCUCAGCCCCAGUCUCACUCCUCGGGGUUCUAUGGGGAAGAAGUGGUGUCAUGGUUGAUGGUAUGAUGGACUAUGAACCAGUGCAAUUGGGAACAACACUGAUGGCAUCAUCUGGCAGGAGGAUGCCUGGGGGUGGCAUCAGACCAGACUCAAGACCUUUCUCAAGACCAAAUCCCUUGGGGAUGGGCUGGGAUACUUAAUACGACACCUGGUCAGAGAUAUGGGAUCCACAACUUGGUCUUGCUGGUGACCCUGGGUUUUUUUGUUUGUUUGUUUUUUAGGGCUGCACUUGCAGCAUAUGUUAAGUUCCCAGGCCAGGGGUUGAAUGGGAGCUGCAGCUGCCAGCCACAGCCACAGCCAUAACAACAUAGGAUAUGAACCGCAUCUGCAACCUACACCACAACUCAUGGCAAUGCUGGAUCCUUAACCCACUGAGUGAGGCCGGGGAUCAAACCUGCAUCCUCAUGGAUACUAGUUGGGUUAGUUACCACUGAGCCACAACAGGACUGACCCAUCAGCCAGGACUUGAGCCUGGAGACUGUGUCCCUGACCUUGCUGACGGCCCUGUGAGGAGGCUCAAACUGUAAACUCCUCGAAGACAAGAGUCCUCUUGGGAAUCCUGGUGCCCUGCACAGGGCUAGAGACUUGGGACGUGAUCAGCCCAAACCCUGGCACUGAAGACUGCCUUCCAAACUUCGCUCUGGGCACCCCACGCUCUGAAGGAAGACUCUGCACUCACCGUUCCCAGCUCAGAGGCUGCAGUUGCUCACAUCUCCCUGACUGGACAGGCUGUCUCACCUCACACCUCAGGUUCUCAGCCUGAAGACCCCAAGAAAGGCCACCUGGAGGUGCAGAUUUAUUUCCUGUCCCUCCACUUCAGUGAUGGGUCAGAGAUGAGGUUAGAGACAUCCUCAGCCCUCUCACAUCCUUACCUAAUUGGCGAAGAU